This 81-nucleotide transfer RNA is filed under the name Mesorhizobium loti. RNAcentral describes it as "tRNA-Ser". Lineage: Bacteria; Pseudomonadati; Pseudomonadota; Alphaproteobacteria; Hyphomicrobiales; Phyllobacteriaceae. The record is from RNAcentral.
ACGGGCAGCGAAACGAGCCUGCUCCUGGCCACGCCGCGCACGAACCGCAGGUCGUAGGUUCGAGCCCUGCUGCCCGUGCCA